RNAcentral lists this long non-coding RNA (6196 nucleotides) under Medicago truncatula (barrel medic). RNAcentral describes it as "long non-coding RNA (MTRU_LNC002758)". The stretch from base 4333 to 4417 matches the Rfam family "tRNA". The record is from RNAcentral. Lineage: Eukaryota; Viridiplantae; Streptophyta; Magnoliopsida; Fabales; Fabaceae.
CUUGAGGGGAAAGUGGAUUUCCAAUAACAGUUCCUUUGAAUAAAAUUGUGGCCAUUGGUGUUGAAGUUGAGUUUAUAUAAUCUUUGAUGGAUAAACCAGCAGAGUAACUUACAUGCACAGCAGGUAGAACAUGAACAUCAGCAAUUGGAUUGAAAGCUUCAUCUUCACCAUUCAAAAGUAUCAUAGCAGCACCACCAGCAUCUUUAACUGCUUGACCUUUGGCUACUCUUUCAACCGAUCCAUCUUGCUCACACACUACUACCUUUCCCUUAACAUCAACAUUCUCCAUGGAAAAAGGAUUACAAAAGGCAAUGAAAUCAUCACUUGUGUUAAUUGCACCUGCAUACACAAGUGGCAAUAAUGUUGAUGCAAAGUCUUUUGGUUGGAAAACUGAUUCUCCGAGAUAUUCCGUCCCAUCCCCAAGCUUAGCUACUGCCUCUAUUUUUCUGUCAAUUGUGCUGGCACCAACAGUUAAAAUCCAUGGUGCUUCAUUAGCCAAUGUACCAUGAAAAGGACCUGAAUUUCCAGCAGAACAACUAACAAAAAUUCCCUUUUGAAUUGCACUAAAUGCACCAAGUGCAAUUCCACUUUCAAAGAAAGAAGUAGAGGGUUGUCCAAGGGAGAGAGAAAGAACAUCAACACCAUCAUCAACAGCAACAUCCAUUCCAGCUAAUAUGACACUUUCAGCACAACCAAAGACGCCGCAUACUUUGUAAAUUGCCAAGUGUGCAUAUGGUGCCAUGCCAAUUGCAGUACCAUUGGCAUUACCAAAGACAUUAGCACCUUUCACGGGCCUUCCAGCGGCCGUGCUGGCCGUGUGAGUUCCGUGGCCAACAUAAUCGUAUGGAAGGGAUGAAUUUACGAUGUUCCUUGCUCCAAUGAUCUUCUUGUUACAAAUCCUCUCCCCUGUGAAUUCACAAUGGCCAUUCCAUUUUGCAGGUGGAGAAGGCAUUCCCUCAUCGGAAAAGGAAGGAUGUGAGAGGGUUAUUCCUGUGUCCAGCAUUCCAAUUAUGAUCCCUUUACCUUGAUUGGAAUUUCCCCACAAUUCUUGAUUCUGUUGCAACCCCAAGAAGCUUGGAGUGUGAGUUGUGUGUAAUGAGAAAAUCUUUUCUGGUCGAAUUGACAGAACCUCCUCAUUCUCUUCUAGAACCUUGGCUUCUUCCGGGGUCAAUUUCACGGCAAAUCCAGCCACAAUGUUUCUGUAUGAGAAAAUAAUACGCUGCUGGUUUUGAGUUUCUGUAGUGGCUUGUGGCAAGAGUGAAUGGUACCAACCAUGCAAACUCUCCUUAGAUUGAAGAGAAGGCUUAUUGACAUGAACAAUGUAAGUCAAUAAGCUACUUUCAUCUUCUAGUCCUUCAUUUGUAGCUGUGAAUUCUUGGUAUUUAUGUGCUGAAGUUGUAUAGAUACUUAGCACAAGAAUGAAACCAAUAAGCAAUAUUGGAGUUAGUUCCAUCUUGGUUAAGGUCAUGUUUGGGAAAGAUACAUGAAAAUCUCUUGCAGUUAAGUUAUAUAGUGUGGAGGGAAAAUGAUUGACAUGGGUGUUAACGAUAACACAGCUAGCAUAGCAUCUUACUUGUUAAAAAUUUCAAGAUAUAUAAAUUAAGGUACUUUGCAUGGUGAAGUACGCUGUUCACAAACGGUGGCGUUAUUAGACACUAUUCACAUACAUAGGAUACGAUGGCAUGUGCUCCUGCUUAAAUUUUGAUUUGCAUGCAUGUGUCGUUUAUAGAUUUAGCAUCAAGUCUUGCCUAUGCAUUUCAAUGCAUUUUCUUCUGUUUUUUGGACAAAAAAUAUAUGCCUUUUCUAAUACAAAAUUCUUUCCUUGUAUAUAUAUAAGCCCAAAAUUAAAUUCAUUCCUCUUGAAGCACUGUUUGGAUUGUUACAAUUGGGUCAGCGUUAUCCGUAUCUUUCUUGAACUACAAAGGUGAAAAUUAUAAAGUAUUAGCUACAACCUCAUUGCAUAAAGUAUACUUUAAUUUUUAUCAUAUUCUUACUUACAAUUAUGAAACCAGCUAGUGGCAUAAUAUUAUUGGAAUUUAAUUCAUAUGCACUUAGACUUUUCUCUGUCUUUGAAUUUUGGCAUCGGGUUAUUGGUGGGUCGAGGUUUUGGUCAGGUUAAUUAAGGUGUAUGCUCUGGUGGCUCGUGAGUUGAGGGGUGCCUUUUUAACUUGUGUCAGAGUCUUGUGGACCAAUCGUUUUUGAUUCGAGGUCGGGAGCAAGUUUGUGACUUAGAUUCUUUUAGGCUGUUGUGAUGUCUCCUCCGAUAUACUAGAACUUGAGUGGUGGUCAAAGCUGAACGUUGGAGCAAAAUCUUUUCCGAGUGCCUUUUUGAUCACUAUUGACGGUGUUGGUUCUUUGAGGAGUUGUUGUUAGGGGAUUAGCAUUUUGGGGCUGGUGGUGGUGUUGCUCUAGGGAUUUUUUAGUGUUUUUAUUUUCUCUUAUGGUGUAAUACUUGGAAUUUAAUCCUCUUAUAUAUAUAAUAUAUUUUUCCAUUCAAAAAAAAAAAAUUUCAUAUGCACUUAGAAUAUAAAAAAUACCUUUUCAAAAAUAAAAAAAUUCCGAAAAUUAGAAAGACAGAAAAGAAAAGAGUUGACCAAAAAAGUUUUUUUUUUUUUUCGAAAUAAAAAAAUAUGGAAAUUAAUUUUCGAAAAUUACAAAAAAUAAAUUCAAAAUUUAAUUUUUGAAAAUCAAAAUUAAUCUUUUUUGAAAAUUUUUAAUUUAAUUUAAUUUAUUUUUAAAAUUUUGGAAAAAUUAAUUUCCCUAUUUUUAAAUGUUUUAUUUUAAUUUCAAAAAUAUAUUUUUUCUUUUUAAAAAAAGGUUUUUAAAUAAUUAAACUAAAAUAAUUAGCAUGUGGCUGCCAACUGUGCAAAGUUACACAGUCAGCGAAUGCCACGUAGGCAUAAAUGUGCCAAAUCAACAAUAAAGUGGGGCCAAUGACUAUUUUAAAAAACAAAAAAAUUUGUUGGGAUUGAUUUCAAUUUUUUUUUACCAGGGACCAAAACCCAAACUCAUCAUAUUUGCAGGGAUCAAAAGCAUAUUUUAGUCUAUAAUCUAAACAAAUUAUCGAAUUAUAUAAUCCAAAAAUAUUUCGGUUAGGAUUAUGUAAGCAGUGACAUACAUUUUUCCCAUCCUGCAACCCUCUGUUACAAGCUUUUUUGAAUUUUGAUGUUUGAAAUAUGUUGUUAAAACUGGAAUUCCUUUUUCUCAUUUAGCGCAACUUGUGCUAACGAGACAUACACAAUAUACCCAAGACCGUUUAAAUGAAAUGACAAGGUUUCUCGCUCAACCAAAAAUCUAGAUUCUCAGGUUUAAACACGAGAUUGAACAUGCAACUACAUUAAAACUCAUAGGGAGAAUUUGCUGCCUAUUUAAAUCCUACAAGGCUUAGAGGAAACUAAGCCGUCUUAACCUUUCCUACUGCGAAACUCCAAAUUAUAAGUUGUGAAGUCGGUGUUUCAACAGCCAUGAAGCUUUUUGCAGAAGUUUAGAGAAGAAUGGAGCAACUCUCAUCAGAGGAUGCAUCGGUCAUAUCAUAUGCCUUGAAUUAACUUAUCCUAACGUGGUAUAUUUUGUUGGUUAACUUUUGGUAUGUCUUGCGUCGUUAUCACCUGUAUAAGGUACCUUUUUCAAUAUGCAACUGCAAAAUGAAGGUUAAUUAUAACUUGCACUGCAGUUUAUCUCAAAUUAGGAAUUGUUAUUGUAACUCAUUAUUGCGAUUCAAUUGCAUAGUUUAUUUGAGGCAUAUUUAAAUGUUAUAUAAAAAAUUUGAUUUAGUUUAACCACAAUUCAACUUGCGUGUAUAUUGUUCUAAUUUUCUAUUGAAAACUGUCAGCAUAUUUGCAAAGUUUGAUUUUAUCAUUUUAUGAAUUACAGAUUCAAGUGUCUUUCAUUUAAUUAAUUGUAUGAAAUUGUUGAGGCGUAAAUGAUAUUGAAACUUGCAUUUUGUUCCGUAUCUUCUAUGUUCUGCCAUGCUGCCAUGUUUCUGUAGAAGAAACUAAUAGAAACCAACCUUUUUAAAACAAGUAUAUGUGCUUUUUUAGUAGACAAGAAGACGAAAAUUACUAUGCAAGAUUUAUAUCUCGUAAUUUUUGUUGAGAAUACAUAGAUCUUGAAUAUUUUGUUAAUAUGUGUAAGAAGCAAAAUUUGUAAAUUUUUGCCGUAUUUGUUAUAUUUCUAUUGUUCUCUUCCUCUUCAAGGCAUCAUGAAAUUCUUUGAGAAAUUAGACGCUAAUCAGAGUAUUAGAAAUUAAAAUUGGCUUAUAUAUGACUUUUCUCGGGGUGAAUUGUAUCUCACAUUUAAGUUUCACUGAGUAAGGUAUAAGGCUGCAUACAGGAGCUGGAAGCUCAGUUGGUUAGAGCAAAGGACUGAAAAUCCUUCGUGAUUCCACAAAAUGAAAAGUAGUUUAAGAUCUUGUUCAGUGAAACAAAAAAGGGUCCCAUCGGCACACGAAAGUUGUGCAAGGGAAGCAACUUGUCAUAAAUUUCGAUUCCCAUCAAUCAUGAUGAUUCCACAUUCAGCAUUCAAGACAUCAAUGAUUGUUCAAUCGAGAUUAGACGGUAAAACAAAAUUUAGAUUUUCCAGCCGUCUAAUCUUGAUCAAACACUCAAUGAUGUUCAAAAUGAUGUCUCUACCAUCAUGGUUGGACUUGGAUGUCAUUUUUGUUGAUACCAUUAGAAUUGUCGAUGCAAAAUAUAUCUAAUGAGGAAAAGAUAGUGACUUAUUGGGGAAAUCACCAUUUUACAUUGUUGUCUAUUAUAAAAUGUGCACAAUAUAGUCAUUUACGAAAACAAGUGGUACAUGCAAAAUAAUAAUCUAAGUUAAAAAACUCCAUUGUUAAAUAGCUUUUAACUUGAAGCAAGAAUAUAUAUUAUACUUCGGAAACAUGCUAUGUAUAGAGGAAUAUUGAAACAAGAAAAUUGGUAACCCAGUUUAAUGUAUUUUUUUUCUUCUUCUAAUGCACCCUUUAUUAUUUGAUAAAAUUCAUAUUACUAUCAUUUGAAAGAAGAUUAUGAAAUAAGAUUACUUAAGACUCAUAAUUUCAUAAGAGAAAUGGACUUAAAAUUAACGUCUAAGAAAUUAAAUAAGCUCCAAGUUUCAAACACAUGUUUGCAAACUUUUUAGUUCCUAUAUUUAUUCCUUAAUAAAAAGUCAUGCUAUAAUUAAUUUACCGUGCCAACAUACUCAAAGACAACAGCAAUAGGAAUGCUAACAGAAUACUUUGCAGAAACCCAUUUGAUAGAGCCUUGAGCAAUAAAGUUAUCACCUCUAUUCUCUUUAUCUUCAGGUAUAAAAUCAACCCAAUAUGUUACCUUUUGCUUCAUCUCAGUGAAUGUUAUUUGUGAUGGCCUUACACUCAUACCUACUGCCAAAGGAACAUCAAUUACCACAUUGUAAGUUGUGUUGACAGGUCCAACAUUUGUCAAUGUUCUACUAUAAAACUGUGAAGUAUUCCCCAACCGAAUCGAAAUCGAUGGAUAAUUAAGCUGUGCUUGUGGUAUGCUCUUUACAUCAGAGCAUUUCACUUUUUGUUGCAAAAUAACUCCAACUUGUCUAUCAGUAUAAUUCAAACCACACAAAUAAGGAACAUAAUCAUUUGUUUCAAUAUCAUAAACAAGUCCCGGAUCAUUUGCUUUUGAAGGGUUGACAUGUCCAGCACCAGUGGCAAAUACAUCAGCUGGUAGAAUUCUUUGGUCCAAAAUAGGCUUACCUUGAAGAUUAACCUGAUUAGCAGUUGUCAUGAUUGCGGAUUUUAUAGCAGCUGGAGACCAAUCUGGAUGAGAGUUUUUCAACAAAGCAGCAAUGCCACUAAGAUGAGGACAUGACAUUGAGGUACCUGAAAUUAUGUUAAACGAUGAUGUACUAUUGUCUAAUGAUAUAGGCCAUCCCGCAAGAAUGUUCAAUCCAGGCCCAAGUAUGUCUGGUUUCAGAAUUCCAGGGCUUGCUUUGCUUGGACCUCUUGAUGAAAAUGAAGCAACUUGAGGGGCAUUGGGAUUUCCAAUGACAGUUCCUUUGAAUAAAAUUGUGGCCAUUGGUGUGGAAGUUGAAUUUAUAUAAUCUUGGAUGUUUAAACCAGCAGAGUAACUUACAUGCACAGCAGGUAGAACAUGAACAUCAGCAAUUGGAUUGAAAUCUUCACCUUCACUGUUCAAAAGUAUCAUAGCAGCACCACCGGCAUCUUUAACUGCUUGACCUUUGG